GCCCUUAGAGUUUGAUCAUGGCUCAGAACGAACGCUGGCGGCAGGCCUAAGACAUGCAAGUCGAACGGAGGCCCCUCCUCCGGGAGGGUGUCCUUAAGUGGCAAACGGGUGAGUAACACGUGGGAAUCUACCCCCAAGACCGGGAUAACCACCGGAAACGGUGGCUAAUACCGGAUAACGUCUCCGGACCAAAGCGUUUCAGCGCUUGGGGAGGAGCCCGCGCCUGAUUAGGUAGUUGGUAGGAUAAAAGCCUACCAAGCCGACGAUCAGUAGCUGGUCUGAGAGGAUGAUCAGCCACAUUGGCACUGAGACACGGGCCAGACUCCUACGGGAGGCAGCAGUCAGGAAUAUUGGACAAUGGGGGAAACUCUGAUCCAGCCAUGCCGCGUGGGUGAAGAAGGCCUUCGGGUUGUAAAGCCCUUUCAGUCGUGAAGAUGAUGACGGUAGCGACAGAAGAAGCCCCGGCCAAAUUCGU
RNAcentral lists this ribosomal RNA (475 nucleotides) under uncultured Alphaproteobacteria bacterium. RNAcentral describes it as "bacterial SSU rRNA". It matches the Rfam family "Bacterial small subunit ribosomal RNA", at positions 1 to 506 of the family's 1533-position model. Lineage: Bacteria; Pseudomonadati; Pseudomonadota; Alphaproteobacteria. The record is from RNAcentral.